RNAcentral lists this long non-coding RNA (545 nucleotides) under Panax ginseng (ginseng). RNAcentral describes it as "long non-coding RNA (PGIN_LNC008700)". The record is from RNAcentral. Lineage: Eukaryota; Viridiplantae; Streptophyta; Magnoliopsida; Apiales; Araliaceae.
GAAUAUAUAUAUAUAUAUAUAUAUAUAUAUAUAUAUAUAUAUAUAUCAACUGAAAUGCCAAUACUGAACAAUCAAUGAACUUUCAGUUAGCUUGGUUAAUAGAGGGGAUAAAAUAUCAAAAUUUGAUUUCACGGGAUGUGGUUUAUCUUUAAUCUAAUUGGAUCGUGUAUUAUAAAAAGCCAUUUGAGAUUAGUAAUAAAAGUUUUCACAUUAAAUGUUUUAAUUGCAUUAAUUCAUUUUUUUGUAAGAAGGAAAUAAAAAAUAGGGAUUUCAAUAAGCUAUCUCCUCAGUUUAUUUUACUUUUUGAUUUUAUGGUUUUAAUUUGUUAUAAACCAAGGAUAUCAGAAAGAAGUUGAUUUUGAUUUGGUGGAGUCGACCCAACUUAUUUUUUAAAAAAUUUCUAGUUUUAUUUGCAGAAUGAUUGCUAAUUAUUGUGGUGUCACCCAGGUAGGUUUGUGUAAUUUUCUGGGUUGUCAGAAACUUGUGCCGGUGGUGAAUCCAUAAGCUCAAAAUAGGAAGAGCGCUCAAUCAAUUAAUGAUUCGAG